This is a long non-coding RNA of Cheilinus undulatus (humphead wrasse), 738 nucleotides long. RefSeq lists it as uncharacterized. The transcript has 2 exons. Lineage: Eukaryota; Metazoa; Chordata; Actinopteri; Labriformes; Labridae. The record is from RefSeq and is a predicted model, not a curated record.
CCAGACACGGCGCUAGCUGAUAGGGAGACUUCUUCAGCCCAGCGGCCCAAAAAGAGCUUCCUGGUCCACUGUGUGUAUUAAUAUGUCUUACUGCCUUGGUCGUCAAAUCAACAAUACAAGAGGUUUUGGGGAAAUCUUUUCCUUAUGACACAGAGUGACCCAUCAGAUUCCUGACCUCCAUUUUUUCCACAUACUCCGCCAGUGUCUUGAUCCACUCAUGAAGUGCACUGAGGAGCAAACUGUUCCCUUUCUAGUCAUUCUUUGUGUAACCCAUUUAAAAAUACAGCUACUAACCCCAGUAUUAAACCCUGGAAAAUUGGUUAGUUUGGUUUGUUUUCAUACUGAAAAAUAAUAUGUUUUGGUGUUAAAUUUGAUGUGUCAACAAAAUGUCAACAGCCUUUAAGAAUGAUUUAUUGCUGGACAUUCAUUGAAUAAGUGCAUUUUAUUGUCCUCUGCUGUCUUGUAGAAGUCACAAAUGUUACUUAUCUCAGUAAAUCUUCAAAUGCACAAAUUAAUGGGAUAGAUAUUAUUUAUUAUUCUAUAUUGCAUUUCUUUUAUCUUGUUUGGAAUGGGAAUUUGUAGGUUUUCAGCCAUAUAUCUUGACAACUUAUAUUUGGGGAUAAGCAUUCCAGAAAAACUUCUCUCUUAAAGAGUUAUGCUAUGUUGUUCACUCAGUGCUGUUAUUCAUGGUUGCUGAUGCUGAAAAGACAUUAAAUUUGUCAAGUGUUCAAGCUAACA